GCGGUAAUACGUAGGUGGCAAGCGUUGUCCGGAAUUAUUGGGCGUAAAGCGCGCGCAGGCGGUCCUUUAAGUCUGAUGUGAAAGCCCACGGCUCAACCGUGGAGGGUCAUUGGAAACUGGGGGACUUGAGUGCAGAAGAGGAAAGCGGAAUUCCACGUGUAGCGGUGAAAUGCGUAGAGAUGUGGAGGAACACCAGUGGCGAAGGCGGCUUUCUGGUCUGUAACUGACGCUGAGGCGCGAAAGCGUGGGGAGCAAACAGGAUU
This 263-nucleotide ribosomal RNA is filed under the name Neobacillus fumarioli. RNAcentral's name for it is "partial 16S ribosomal RNA". It matches the Rfam family "Bacterial small subunit ribosomal RNA", at positions 517 to 779 of the family's 1533-position model. Lineage: Bacteria; Bacillati; Bacillota; Bacilli; Caryophanales; Bacillaceae. The record is from RNAcentral.